Molecule: ribosomal RNA, 800 nt
Filed under: uncultured bacterium
Lineage: Bacteria
Description: bacterial SSU rRNA
Rfam family: Bacterial small subunit ribosomal RNA
Source: RNAcentral
AGAGUUGAUCAUGGCUCAGCGCGAACGCUGGCGGCGUGCCUAAUACAUGCAAGUCGUGCGUGAACCCUCGAUUUAUAUCGGGGUAGUAGCGCGGCGAACGGGUGAGUAACACGUGGGUAACCUACCCCCAAGUUCGGGAUAACCCCGGGAAACUGGGGCUAAUACCGAAUGUGCCCCGAAGGACCGAAGUCUUUCGGGGUAAAGGUGGCCUCUGAUUCAAGCUACCGCUUGGGGAGGGGCCCGCGGCCUAUCAGGUAGUUGGUGGGGUAAUGGCCCACCAAGCCUAAGACGGGUAGCCGGUCUGAGAGGACGGCCGGCCACACGGACACUGAGACACGGGUCCGACUCCUACGGGAGGCAGCAGUAGGGAAUAUUGGGCAAUGCCCGAAAGGGUGACCCAGCGACGCCGCGUGGGGGAUGAAGGCCUUCGGGUCGUAAACCCCUUUUGCAGGGGAAGAAACCUACGAGCUCGAAUAGGGCUCGUAGCUGACGGUACCCUGCGAAUAAGCGCCGGCCAACUACGUGCCAGCAGCCGCGGUAAAACGUAGGGCGCAAGCGUUGCGCGGAUUCACUGGGCGUAAAGGGUCCGUAGGCGGGACUGUAAGUCGAGUGUGAAAGCCCGGGGCUCAACCUCGGGACUGCACUCGAUACUGCAGUCCUAGAGUCCGGAAGAGGGGGGCGGAAUUCCCGGUGUAGCGGUGGAAUGCGUAGAUAUCGGGAGGAACGCCGAUGGCGAAGGCAGCCCCCUGGUCCGGUACUGACGCUCAGGGACGAAAGCGUGGGGAGCAAACAGGAUUAGA